GUAAUGCGUGACCAACCUGCCCCAUGCUCCAGAAUAGCUCUUGGAAACGGGUGGUAAUGCUGGAUGCUCCAACUUGACGCAUGUCUUGUUGGGAAAGUGUUUAGUGGCAUGGGAUGGGGUCGCGUCCUAUCAGCUUGUAGGCGGGGUAAUGGCCCACCUAGGCUUCGACGGGUAGCCGGCCUGAGAGGGCGGACGGCCACAUUGGGACUGAGAUACGGCCCAGACUCCUACGGGAGGCAGCAGCC
RNAcentral lists this ribosomal RNA (245 nucleotides) under uncultured Gardnerella sp. RNAcentral's name for it is "partial 16S ribosomal RNA". It matches the Rfam family "Bacterial small subunit ribosomal RNA", at positions 110 to 355 of the family's 1533-position model. The record is from RNAcentral. Lineage: Bacteria; Bacillati; Actinomycetota; Actinomycetes; Bifidobacteriales; Bifidobacteriaceae.